UCUACUAUAUUUGUUUCCAGGUGAAAUACCCAAAGAGAUAAGCAAUCUCAUUGAGUUGGAGCUACUAAGUCUUGCAGUUAAUAGUUUUAGUGAUUCACUCCCAAUGGAGAUCUUCAAGAUAUCCUGGCUGAGAAUAAUUGAUCUUAUAGACAACAAUCUAUCAGGAAGCCUCCCACCAAACAUGUGUUCUAUCUUACCCAACAUUGAAGUGCUUUAUCUGGCCAACUUAACCAAUCUUGUUUUGAUUAAUCCUCAUUCAAUCUCCAAUUGUUCAAAACUUAAAAUUCUUGAGCUUGCCAACAACAAACUCACAGACUUGAUUCCCAAUUCUCUUGGAUAUUUGACUCAUCUACAAUUCCUAAACUUGGGGGAAAACAAUUUCACGAGCGAUUCAUCAUUAAGCUUCCUGACUUCCUUAACAAAUUGUAGAAAUUUAACAGUUCUUUAUCUACCUUUCAACCAUCUAAAUGGCAUGCUUCCAGCCUCCAUGGGAAACCUUUCCACCUUUCUUAGAAAAUUUUACGCCAACAAUUACAAAAUCAUAGGGCGAAUUCCAAAUGAAGUUGGGAACUUAAGCAGCUUAUUAGACCUUGAUAUUUCUGGAAAUAACUUUGUUGGAUUGAAUCCAACAUCAAUUGGCAACUUGAGAAACCUUCAACGCUUCAACUUGAGGAACAACAAACUUACAGGAUUUAUUAGUGAUCAUAUAUGUAUAUUGCAGCAUUUGGGUGAUAUUUACUUUGGUCAAAAUCAACUUUCUGCAUCUCUUCCUAAUUGUUUAGGGAAUAUUGCUUCCCUUAGGGAGAUACAUCUGGGUUCCAAUAAAUUGAGUUCCAUUAUACCACCAAGCUUAGGGAACCUUCAUGAUCUAGUAGUUCUUGAAUUAUCGUCAAACAAAAUCUAAAGGCUGCCACAUUGAUAGAUCUGUCAAUGAAUCAAUUCUCAAAUGAAAUUCCAAGAGAAAUUGGAGGAUUGGAAACUCUGUUGCAUGUUUCUUUGAGGCGCAACAAGUUGCAAGGAUCUAUAUCUGACUCAGUGAGCACCAUGUUUGGUUUGGAAUUUCUAGAUCUCUCUCAUAACAAUAUAUCUGGAAUCAUUCCCAGGUCAUUGGAGAAACUUCAAAAUCUGAAGUAUUUCAAUGUUUCUGAUAACAAGUUGUAUGGUGAAAUACCCUCGGGAGGUCCUUUCAAGAACCUCUCGAGUCAGUUCUUCAUCGACAAUGAAGCAUUGUGUGGUUCUUCAAGAUUUAGUGUUCCUCCAUGCCCCACUUCAUCAAAGCACAGAUCAAAUAGGAAAAAGUUUCUAGUUCUAUUUCUUUUUCUAGGACUUGCACUUUUAUUUGUUCCUCUCACUUUUGUGUUUGUUUGGAUAAAGUACAGAAGAGGUAAAAGAUCUCCUCAACAAGAUGAUUCAUUGUCUACUGCAACAAGAGAAAGAAUUUCAUACUAUGAAUUGAUCCAAAAAAUCGAUGCACUUAGCGAGUGUAAUCUGAUUGGUUCUGGAAGUUUUGGCUCUGUUUACAAAGGCGUUCUAAGAAGUGGAACUGUCAUUGCAGUAAAAGUGUUCAACCUGCAACUGGAUCCGGCAUUCAAGAGUCUUGAUACGGAAUGUGAAGUUUUGUGCAGCCUUCGCCAUAGGAAUCUCCUUAAAGUCAUUACUAGUUGUUCCAGUCUUGCUUUCAAGGCUUUAGUGCUCGAGUAUAUUCCAAAUGGAAGUCUUGAGAAGUAUUUGUAUUCAUACAACUAAUUCCUCGACAUCCGGCAGAGACUAAGCAUAAUGAUAGAUGUGGCAUGUGCUUUGGACUAUCUUCACCACGGGUGCUCGUUGCCAGUGAUAAAAUGUGACGUGAAGCCUUGUAAUGUCUUGCUGGAUGAAGAUAUGGUUGCCCACCUAAGCGACUUUGGCAUUUCAAAACUGCUUGGUGAAGAUCAGGGUAAUUUGUACACUAAAACCUUAGCUACAUUGGGGUAUAUUGCGCCAGAGUAUGGACUGGAAGGACUAGUGUCAACAAAGUGUGACGUCUAUAGUUAUGGGGUCAUGUUGCUGGAAACGUUUACUAGGAGAAAGCCUAAUGAGUUUGAGGGAGAUCUUAGCUUGAAGCAGUGUGUGAGUUAUUCACUUCCAGAUGUAGUAAUGGACGUUGUAGAUGCGAACUUGGUAACACCAAUGGGUAAAGGCUUACGGAAGGAGCAAGAUGUUGUGGCAUCAAUCAUGAAUGUGGCAUUAGAUUGUUGUGCUGAAUCUCCUGCGGAAGGACUAACAUGAAAGAUGUUGUAGGAAUGCUACAGAAGACCAAGAUUCAACUUUUUGAAUGUGGAGCAUGUAGUUCCAAAUGACUUGUUUGUUGCAAAUUUUUGCUAAAAUGUUGGUUAUUUUUUUGGUUUUAGCACUUGAUUUGUGCAUUGAUUCUGUUUCCAGG
RNA transcript from Capsicum annuum, 2419 nucleotides. It is a transcript of the gene named probable LRR receptor-like serine/threonine-protein kinase At3g47570, with no coding region annotated. The transcript is spliced from 2 exons. The record is from RefSeq and is a predicted model, not a curated record. Lineage: Eukaryota; Viridiplantae; Streptophyta; Magnoliopsida; Solanales; Solanaceae.